This 503-nucleotide ribosomal RNA is filed under the name uncultured bacterium. Its description in RNAcentral is "partial 16S ribosomal RNA". It matches the Rfam family "Bacterial small subunit ribosomal RNA", at positions 28 to 523 of the family's 1533-position model. The record is from RNAcentral.
GAUGAACGCUAGCGGCAGGCCUAACACAUGCAAGUCGAGGGGUAGCAGGAUUAAGCUUGCUUAAUUGCUGACGACCGGCGCACGGGUGCGUAACGCGUAUGCAACCUACCUUAUACUGGGGUAUAGCCCGGAGAAAUUCGGAUUAAUCCCCCAUAGUACUAAUGAAUCGCAUGGUAUAUUAGUUAAAGCAUUGCGGUAUAAGAUGGGCAUGCGUCCUAUUAGCUAGAUGGUGAGGUAACGGCUCACCAUGGCUACGAUAGGUAGGGGGCCUGAGAGGGUGGUCCCCCACACUGGUACUGAGACACGGACCAGACUCCUACGGGAGGCAGCAGUGAGGAAUAUUGGUCAAUGGGCGCAAGCCUGAACCAGCCAUGCCGCGUGCAGGAAGGAUGCCCUAUGGGUUGUAAACUGCUUUUAUUUGGGAAUAAACCUCUUUACGUGUAGAGAGCUGAAGGUACCAAAUGAAUAAGCACCGGCUAACUCCGUGCCAGCAGCCGCAGUAA